UACGAAGGAUGCGAGCGUUAUCCGGAUUUAUUGGGUUUAAAGGGUGCGCAGGCGGCACGGCAAGCCGGCGGUCAAAUCGCGGGGCUCAACCCCGCCCAGCCGUCGGAACUGCCGGGCUAGAGUGGGCGAGAAGUGCGCGGAAUGCGUGGUGUAGCGGUGAAAUGCAUAGAUAUCACGCAGAACUCCGAUUGCGAAGGCAGCGCACCGGCGCCCUACUGACGCUCAGGCACGAAAGCGUGGGUAUCGAACAGG
This 252-nucleotide ribosomal RNA is filed under the name uncultured bacterium. Its description in RNAcentral is "partial 16S ribosomal RNA". It matches the Rfam family "Bacterial small subunit ribosomal RNA", at positions 524 to 776 of the family's 1533-position model. The record is from RNAcentral.